RNAcentral lists this ribosomal RNA (427 nucleotides) under uncultured bacterium. RNAcentral's name for it is "bacterial SSU rRNA". It matches the Rfam family "Bacterial small subunit ribosomal RNA", at positions 355 to 774 of the family's 1533-position model. The record is from RNAcentral.
UGGGGAAUUUUGGACAAUGGGCGCAAGCCUGAUCCAGCCAUGCCGCGUGCAGGAUGAAGGCCCUCGGGUUGUAAACUGCUUUUGUACGGAACGAAAAGCCUCUUUCUAAUAAAGAGGGGUGAUGACGGUACCGUAAGAAUAAGCACCGGCUAACUACGUGCCAGCAGCCGCGGUAAUACGUAGGGUGCGAGCGUUAAUCGGAAUUACUGGGCGUAAAGCGUGCGCAGGCGGUCUUGCAAGACAGUGGUGAAAUCCCCGGGCCCAACCUGGGAACUGCCAAUGUGACUGCAAGGCUGGAGUACGGCAGAGGGGGGUGGAAUUCCGCGUGUAGCAGUGAAAUGCGUAGAUAUGCGGAGAAAGACCGAUGGCGAAGGCAGUCCCCUGGGCCUGUACUGACGCUCAUGCACGAAAGCGUGGGGAGCAAACA